GAUGAACGCUGGCGGCGUGCCUAAUACAUGCAAGUCGAGCGAACAGACGAGGAGCUUGCUCCUCUGACGUUAGCGGCGGACGGGUGAGUAACACGUGGAUAACCUAUCUAUAAGACUGGGAUAACUUCGGGAAACCGUAGCUAAUACCGGAUAAUAUAUUGAACCGCAUGGUUCAAUAGUGAAAGACGGUUUUGCUGUCACUUAUAGAUGUAUCCGCGCCGCAUUAGCUAGUUGGUAAGGUAAAGGCUUACCAAGGCGACGAUGCGUAGCCGACCUGAGAGGAUGCUCGCCCCCACCAGAAGUGAGACAGCUUCCAGACUCCAACCGGAGGCAAGACUCUGGUAUCGUCUGCAGUAGGCGGUACACUGCCCGAACGACGCCGCGUGAGCGAUGAGGGGCUUCUCUUCGUAGUACUAAUUGAUUACGGCAGGACACAUGUGCAAGUAUAUAUGCCCGCCUUGACGGUACCGAUUCAAAAAGCCACGGCUAACUACGUG
This 497-nucleotide ribosomal RNA is filed under the name uncultured bacterium. RNAcentral describes it as "partial 16S ribosomal RNA". It matches the Rfam family "Bacterial small subunit ribosomal RNA", at positions 28 to 507 of the family's 1533-position model. The record is from RNAcentral.